Molecule: ribosomal RNA, 371 nt
Filed under: uncultured bacterium
Lineage: Bacteria
Description: bacterial SSU rRNA
Rfam family: Bacterial small subunit ribosomal RNA
Source: RNAcentral
GUAGGAGGCGAGCGUUAUCCGGAUUCACUGGGCGUAAAGCGCGUGCAGGUGGUUCGGUAAGUUAGGCGUGAAAUCUCCCGGCUCAACUGGGAGAGGUCGUCUAAUACUACCGAACUUGAGAGCAGAAGAGGAAGAUGGAAUUCCCGGUGUAGUGGUGAAAUGCGUAGAUAUCGGGAGGAACACCAGUGGCGAAGGCGAUCUUCUGGUCUGUUUCUGACACUCAGACGCGACAGCUAGGGUAGUAAACGGGAUUAGAGACCCCGGUGAUCCUAGCCGUAAACGAUGUGAACUUGGCGUUGGUGGGUUAAACUCCAUCAGUGCCGAAGCAAACGCGAUAAGUUCACCGCCUGGGGACUACGGCCGCAAGAUUA